UACGGAGGGUGCAAGCGUUAUCCGGAUUCACUGGGUUUAAGGGUGCGUAGGUGGGCAGGUAAGUCAGUGGUGAAAUCUCCGGGCUUAACCCGGAAACUGCCAUUGAUACUAUUUGUCUUGAAUACUGUGGAGGUCAGCGGAAUAUGUCAUGUAGCGGUGAAAUGCUUAGAUAUGACAUAGAACACCAAUUGCGAAGGCAGCUGGCUACACAAAUAUUGACACUGAGGCACGAAAGCGUGGGGAUCAAACAGG
RNAcentral lists this ribosomal RNA (252 nucleotides) under uncultured bacterium. RNAcentral's name for it is "partial 16S ribosomal RNA". It matches the Rfam family "Bacterial small subunit ribosomal RNA", at positions 524 to 776 of the family's 1533-position model. The record is from RNAcentral.